GACGAACCGUGCGAACGUUGUUCGGAAUCACUGGGCUUAAAGGGCGCGUAGGCGGCUUGCCAAGUCCGGGGUGAAAGCCUCCAGCUCAACUGGAGAAGUGCCUUGGAUACUGGCGAGCUCGAGCGAGGUAGGGGCGGGUGGAACUUCCGGUGGAGCGGUGAAAUGCGUUGAUAUCGGAAGGAACGCCGGUGGCGAAAGCGACCCGCUGGACCUCUUCUGACGCUGAGGCGCGAAAGCUAGGGUAGCGAACGGG
This 253-nucleotide ribosomal RNA is filed under the name uncultured bacterium. RNAcentral describes it as "partial 16S ribosomal RNA". It matches the Rfam family "Bacterial small subunit ribosomal RNA", at positions 524 to 776 of the family's 1533-position model. The record is from RNAcentral.